UUUUAAAACCUUAGGUAGUAAUAGUUAUGUUCUUGAAACUUAAAAAAUUUGGCGGUAUUUUAGUCUAUUCAGAGGAACCUGUUUUAUAAUCGAUAAUCCACGGUGGACCUUACUUAAAUUUGUAAUCAGCUUAUAUAUCGUCGUUAUUAGAAUAUUUUAUUAGAAAGUUAAUUUUCAAAAUUUUAUAAGAGAAAAUAUAUCAGAUCAAGGUGUAGCUUAUGUUUAAGUAAAAAUGGGUUACAAUAAAAAUAUUUAUAUGAAUAUAAAUUUGAAAUGUUUAUUGAAGGUGGAUUUGAUAGUAAAAUUAUAAAGAUUAAUAAUUUGAUUUUAGCUCUAAAAUAUGC
Molecule: ribosomal RNA, 344 nt
Filed under: Tachina fera
Lineage: Eukaryota; Metazoa; Arthropoda; Insecta; Diptera; Tachinidae
Description: partial 12S ribosomal RNA
Source: RNAcentral